GAUGAACGCUGGCGGCGUGCCUAAUACAUGCAAGUCGAGCGAACAGACGAGGAGCUUGCUCCUCUGACGUUAGCGGCGGACGGGUGAGUAACACGUGGAUAACCUACCUAUAAGACUGGGAUAACUUCGGGAAACCGGAGCUAAUACCGGAUAAUAUAUUGAACCGCAUGGUUCAAUAGUGAAAGACGGUUUUGCUGUCACUUAUAGAUGGAUCCGCGCUGCAUUAGCUAGUUGGUAAGGUAACGGCUUACCAAGGCAACGAUGCGUAGCCGACCUGAGAGGGUGAUCGGCCACACUGGAACUGAGACACGGUCCAGACUCCUACGGGAGGCAGCAGUAGGGAAUCUUCCGCAAUGGGCGAAAGCCUGACGGAGCAACGCCGCGUGAGUGAUGAAGGUCUUCGGAUCGUAAAACUCUAUUAUUAGGGAAGAACAAAUGUGUAAGUAACUAUGCACGUCUUGACGGUACCUAAUCAGAAAGCCACGGCUAACUACGUG
RNAcentral lists this ribosomal RNA (497 nucleotides) under uncultured bacterium. RNAcentral describes it as "partial 16S ribosomal RNA". It matches the Rfam family "Bacterial small subunit ribosomal RNA", at positions 28 to 507 of the family's 1533-position model. The record is from RNAcentral.